CACGGUGUUUUCAAAAUUUAAAGCACCAGUGUAUCCCACGGUGCAUCUUUACAUUUUCAUAUAUAUCUAUCUAUCUAUCUGGUUGCCAUAUUAUCUUCGGGUAACCGACCAUAGAUCUAUCUACAUAUACAUAUACAUCUAUGGUCUAUCUAUCUAUAUAUAUAUAUAUUAUAUAUUAUAUGAAUCUAUCAUAUUAUGAAUAAAAGCUGUGGCCAGAUAUCGCCAAACCAUAUAUGUAUUUUGUUUUAAUGGCACCAUCUGAGAUAAUGGAAUUUAGGUUAAUAGACUUAAAUUCGGUUAUCGCCGGGGCCACUCACGGAUUGUGUUUCAUGUUUUAGAUUUACCCAACAUGAGUGACGUUUUAUUCUGUGACGUCAUUUAGUCCUUUUUAGAAUUUCAUCGCAGCAAGCAAGCUGUUUAAAUUUCGUAAGCGGUAAACUUGAAAACCCGCCCUCCCACUCCUUUUUAUUGUACAAGAUACUGCUCUUUUGUAUUUAUUUUUCAGGUUUGUGUCGGUGACAGUGGUGGUACAGAUUUGACUGAUGAUGUUAACUUGUUUGCUGUUGAGAAAAGUGACUUUUAUAUGAACUUUGAGCAUCAUUAAUAUAUUCCCGUUAAUGGCAGAAUUCGCUGCAUAGAAUCUUAAUGUUAACUAUGAAAUUUUAGGUUUUUGGAUAAUACAGACUACACUUGUGUAUCCCACGGUGUUUUCUAAAUUUAAAGCACCAGUGUAUCCCACGGUGCAUCUUUACAUUUUCAUAUAUAUCUAUCUAUCUAUCUGGUUGCCAUAUUAUCUUCGGGUAACCGACCAUAGAUCUUUCUACAUAUACAUAUACAUCUAUGGUCUAUCUAUCUAUAUAUAUAUAUAUUAUAUAUUAUAUGAAUCUAUCAUAUUAUGAAUAAAAGCUGUGGCCAGAUAUCGCCAAUCCAUAUAUGUAUUUUGUUUUAAUGGCACCAUCUGAGAUAAUCGAUGAGUAUCUUGGACAAUUGUCUUUCUACCGGUGCCGUGUAUUUCUUUGAGGCCAAUUAUCUUGGAGCAAUUCUUCGUGUACACAAAAUGGAACAAGAUCUUUUUCUAUCAGAGAAAGAGCAAAAACCUGCUUUUUGACAGCAAUAAAACAUUACGAGCAAGAGAAAAUCUUCAAGAUAAAAUCGUUCUUAAACCAAGUUUAUCUUUUUCUUGCGUUAUUUGUUCUCGGUGUUGAUGUUAAACAAAUUGAAUACAUGUAUGUGAACACUGUUUCAAAUGAAGACAUCAGUUUGGCAGAGUUUUAUUUAAACUUGUUUGAAAACAGUUGUUGGGAUGGAUCUACUAACUGGUCAAGGAUGCUGUUUUACAUUGCUCGGUCAGAACAGCAUAAAAAAAGACAAAAUCUACAGCGAUCUUGAGAUUAUCUCCACGAUGCUCUAACAUGCGCAACCAAAGGAGACUAUCUAAAACAGAGAGAGUUCAUACAAUGUAAAAUCACUCUUGCUGAAAAGAGCAUAUUUGAGAAACAAAGACUUCGUGCAAUUACACAACGUGAACAAACUGUGAAUGACAUAUUAGCUAAUCUCGAGGAAAGUUCAAGCGAUUCUUGUUAUAGUUUUAUUCGAUUUUUCAUUGUAACCGUUUAACAAUUUUAAUUUAUUCUAUAAUAAUUCAGACUUGUAUGACAAAAAUUUUGCUUCUCUGUUUAUACGUAGUUUGUAACAAAUUCGUGUUUAUAAUGUGACUAACAACGAGUACUUUAAUAGAUCAAUGCAAUUAGUACGAAAAGCAGUUAAAAAAUGGUGAACAUUUUGUUGGUUUUAGCAGAUCGGUGUAGUUAUUUUGGUUAUAUUGGACAUAAUAUAAGUAGUUAUAAAAGGUACCAGACUUAUACUUUGAUACGCCAGACACGCGUUGCGUCUAUAUAAGACCCAUCAGUGACGCUCAGAUCAAAAUAAUUUAAAAGCCGAAGAAAUAUAAAGUUGAAUAGCAUUGAGGACACAAAAUUCGAAAAAGUUGUGCCAAAAACCAGUUGAAAAUAUGGUUUAUGUGGGGUUACGGAGACCAUUGCAGUUUUUUUGGCUUAGUUGGACGCAUUCUAUAACCAACUUAAAGUAUGAUAAUGUUGUGCGGGCGGGA
This 2110-nucleotide long non-coding RNA is filed under the name Mytilus galloprovincialis (Mediterranean mussel). Lineage: Eukaryota; Metazoa; Mollusca; Bivalvia; Mytilida; Mytilidae. The record is from RNAcentral.